RNAcentral lists this ribosomal RNA (465 nucleotides) under Vreelandella stevensii. RNAcentral's name for it is "partial 16S ribosomal RNA". It matches the Rfam family "Bacterial small subunit ribosomal RNA", at positions 338 to 795 of the family's 1533-position model. The record is from RNAcentral. Lineage: Bacteria; Pseudomonadati; Pseudomonadota; Gammaproteobacteria; Oceanospirillales; Halomonadaceae.
CCUACGGGAGGCAGCAGUGGGGAAUAUUGGACAAUGGGGGCAACCCUGAUCCAGCCAUGCCGCGUGUGUGAAGAAGGCCCUCGGGUUGUAAAGCACUUUCAGUGAGGAAGAACGCCUGGUGGUUAAUACCCAUCAGGAAAGACAUCACUCACAGAAGAAGCACCGGCUAACUCCGUGCCAGCAGCCGCGGUAAUACGGAGGGUGCGAGCGUUAAUCGGAAUUACUGGGCGUAAAGCGCGCGUAGGUGGCUUGAUAAGCCGGUUGUGAAAGCCCCGGGCUCAACCUGGGAACGGCAUCCGGAACUGUCAAGCUAGAGUGCAGGAGAGGAAGGUAGAAUUCCCGGUGUAGCGGUGAAAUGCGUAGAGAUCGGGAGGAAUACCAGUGGCGAAGGCGGCCUUCUGGACUGACACUGACACUGAGGUGCGAAAGCGUGGGUAGCAAACAGGAUUAGCUACCCCGGUAGUC